RNAcentral lists this ribosomal RNA (490 nucleotides) under uncultured bacterium. Its description in RNAcentral is "partial 16S ribosomal RNA". It matches the Rfam family "Bacterial small subunit ribosomal RNA", at positions 30 to 507 of the family's 1533-position model. The record is from RNAcentral.
AUUGAACGCUGGCGGCAGGCCUAACACAUGCAAGUCGAACGGUAACAGGAAGCAGCUUGCUGCUUUGCUGACGAGUGGCGGACGGGUGAGUAAUGUCUGGGAAACUGCCCGAUGGAGGGGGAUAACUACUGGAAACGGUAGCUAAUACCGCAUAACGUCGUAAGACCAAAGAGGGGGACCUUAGGGCCUCUUGCCAUCGGAUGUGCCCAGAUGGGAUUAGCUAGUAGGUGGGGUAACGGCUCACCUAGGCGACGAUCCCUAGCUGGUCUGAGAGGAUGACCAGCCACACUGGAACUGAGACACGGUCCAGACUCCUACGGGAGGCAGCAGUGGGGAAUAUUGCACAAUGGGCGCAAGCCUGAUGCAGCCAUGCCGCGUGUAUGAAGAAGGCCUUCGGGUUGUAAAGUACUUUCAGCGGGGAGGAAGGGAGUAAAGUUAAUACCUUUGCUCAUUGACGUUACCCGCAGAAGAAGCACCGGCUAACUCCGUG